UACGGAGGGGACUAGCGUUGUUCGGAAUUACUGGGCGUAAAGCGCACGUAGGCGGAUUUGUAAGUCAGGGGUGAAAUCCCGGGGCUCAAACCUCGGAACUGCCUUUGAUACUGGGUGUCUUGAGUAUGGAAGAGGUGAGUGGAAUUCCGAGUGUAGAGGUGAAAAUUCGUAGAUAUUCGGAGGAACACCAGUGGCGAAGGCGGCUCACUGGUCCAUUACUGACGCUGAGGUGCGAAAGCGUGGGGAGCAAACAGGG
This 256-nucleotide ribosomal RNA is filed under the name uncultured bacterium. Its description in RNAcentral is "partial 16S ribosomal RNA". It matches the Rfam family "Bacterial small subunit ribosomal RNA", at positions 524 to 777 of the family's 1533-position model. The record is from RNAcentral.